CGGGAACGAGUAGAGCGGCGCACGGGUGAGUAACGCGUGGAUAAUCUACCCAUAGAUUGGGAUAACGUCUGGAAACGGGCGCUAAUACCGAAUAGACUCUAGGAUAAAGAUUUUACGGGUAAAGGUGGCCUCUAUUUAUAAGCUAUUGUCUAUGGAUGAGUCCGCGUCUCAUUAGGUAGUUGGUAGGGUAAAGGCCUACCAAGCCUGUGAUGAGUAGCCGGCCUGAGAGGGUGAUCGGCCACACUGGGACUGGAACACGGCCCAGACUCCUACGGGAGGCAGCAGUGGGGAAUAUUGCGCAAUGGACGGAAGUCUGACGCAGCGACGCCGCGUGAGGAUGAAGGUUCCUUCGGAUCGUAAACCUCUGUCAAGAGGGAAGUAAAGUGAUAUACUCUAACAUAGUAUAUUUUUGACGGUACCUCUGAAGGAAGCACCGGCUAACUCCGUGCCAGCAGCUGC
This 459-nucleotide ribosomal RNA is filed under the name uncultured bacterium. RNAcentral describes it as "bacterial SSU rRNA". It matches the Rfam family "Bacterial small subunit ribosomal RNA", at positions 81 to 518 of the family's 1533-position model. The record is from RNAcentral.